Molecule: ribosomal RNA, 37 nt
Filed under: synthetic construct
Source: RNAcentral
GGACCGAUGGUAGUGUCUUCGGAUGCGAGAGUAGGUC